Long non-coding RNA from Symphalangus syndactylus (siamang), 1224 nucleotides. RefSeq lists it as uncharacterized. Lineage: Eukaryota; Metazoa; Chordata; Mammalia; Primates; Hylobatidae. The record is from RefSeq and is a predicted model, not a curated record.
GCGUUGUUGGGGGCUGGGGAGGAUUUACGGCUCUAACGCCUUCUGUAUAACGCUUUAACGGCGGGCAGAGCGGUUUCUGUUGCGUCCCGUCCUGUACUUUUCACACCCACCUGUGAGAAUGGGAAUAAUCCACAUGAGAGUUACUCCUUCUGCCUGGGCCCGGGAAUGAGAAGACCUGUGGAGCCAAGCUGCCGCUUACCCACAACCUGCAUAUACAUAAAUCAGAAGCCAGCAUUGGUUGUUGUGAGUCCCUUAGAUUUGGGGGUAGGUUGUGAUUGCAGCAAAGCUGAAUAAAAGCUACAGUUGGAGGCCAGGCGUGGUGGCUCGCUCCUGUAAUCCCAGCACUUUGGGAGGCUGAGGUGGGUGGAUCACUUGAGGUCAGGAGUUCAAGACCAGCCUGGCCAACUGGCGAAACCCUGUUUCUACCAAAAAAUACAAAAAUUAGCCAGGUGUGGUGGCACGUGCCUGUAAUCCCGGCUACUUGGGAGGCUGAGGCAGCAGAACCGCUUGAACCUAGGAGGCAGAGGUUGCAGUGAGCCAGGGUGGUACCACUGUACUCCAGCCUGGGCAACAGAGUGACACUGUGUCUCAAAAAACAAAACACAACAACAACAGCAACAACAAAAAGAAGCUACAGUUGGAUAAUUGGACAAUGGAAGAUAAAAUUGGAAAGACAGACUUAAGCCAGAGUAUAGAGAGUUUUGAAUGUCAGCUUGAUGAAGAUGACCUUAGGCACAGUGACUCUGAAGGCCACAUAUUAAAGACAGUGGAGCCACAGGAUGGAAGGAAGCUGGUUCCCUGAAUCAUCACUUGGCAGAGAGCUGACCACUAAUCAGGAUCAUGUGUUUUAGAUUUCACUUGACCAAUAAAUCAAUUUCAAUUUUUGUUACACUGCUAAAAUGUGGGGUUUAUUUUUUAUAGUAGCUACUGUUUUCCUAAUCAAUACAUCAUGUGCAAAGGUUUGGACUUCACUCCCAUCAGGAAUGGGAAGUUAGUCACUGAAGAUUUUUUGAAAAAGGGGAAUAAUACUGUGAAGACAGGUGGAAGUUACAGUUAUUGGGAUCAAAGAAUUCUGAGUGAGAGUGGGAGAUUUGGGGACUGUUCUUUUUUUUUCAGAAUAUAGUUUAACUCUUGUCUGGGGAAGGGAGAUGACUGCCAUGAUUGUCGAAGGGCUCCAUAGAACUGGGGAAGGAGCUGCUGAAAAAUAAAUCCAUUUCCCUGAAA